CCUUCAGUUCCGUAUGGUUUAUGAAUUUGGUAUCAGCCUCAUAAAGAAUGUUUUGUUAUCCUUCGCCACUUCUUCAACCUCGCCGUCUCUCUAAACUCUGUUUGCAAACACAAAGUUUUUUUUCUAUCACGAUGUUAAGUAGUAGAGACCACCCCCUCCCUCCGCUUCCUUCCCUCCUUCCUCCAACGACGACCUCGAGAGCAUCUCCGCGGCGCGCGGAGCCAAUUCCGACUCAGACCCCAAGGUAUCAGAGGACGCCGUCAUGUACGACGACAAGGAAGACUUCUCUCCCGAACCUGAUCAGGACUCUUCGAUCCGCACAUUCACUGCCGCUAAACUCGAUCCCAGCUCCGGAGCCAACGGUUCGAGUCGGAACACUAAGAUCAAGACGGAGAUCUCGACGGUGAAGCUUGAGGCUGGCGUGAGCUCAGUCUCGGGGAUUGUGCCGAAGGAUGAGUCUGCUAAGAUAUCGACAGAUGAUACACAGACAAGGGGGGGUGGGCUUACAUUGCGAGAGAAGAGGCUUUGAAGAGAGAGGAAACAUAAGUCAGCU
Molecule: long non-coding RNA, 553 nt
Organism: Brassica oleracea var. oleracea
Lineage: Eukaryota; Viridiplantae; Streptophyta; Magnoliopsida; Brassicales; Brassicaceae
Exons: 3
Source: RefSeq, a predicted model, not a curated record